RNAcentral lists this ribosomal RNA (253 nucleotides) under Clostridioides difficile. RNAcentral describes it as "partial 23S ribosomal RNA". It matches the Rfam family "Bacterial large subunit ribosomal RNA", at positions 1946 to 2198 of the family's 2925-position model. Lineage: Bacteria; Bacillati; Bacillota; Clostridia; Peptostreptococcales; Peptostreptococcaceae. The record is from RNAcentral.
CGGUCCUAAGGUAGCGAAAUUCCUUGUCGGGUAAGUUCCGACCCGCACGAAAGGCGUAACGAUUUGGGCACUGUCUCAACAACAGACUCGGUGAAAUUGUAAUUCCGGUGAAGAUGCCGGAUACCGGCGACAGGACGGAAAGACCCCAUGGAGCUUUACUGUAGCUUGACAUUGGGUCUUGGUACUACAUGUACAGGAUAGGUGGGAGGCUUUGAAACCAGGACGCCAGUUUUGGCGGAGCCAUCCUUGGGAU